Molecule: small RNA, 101 nt
Filed under: Epilithonimonas zeae
Lineage: Bacteria; Pseudomonadati; Bacteroidota; Flavobacteriia; Flavobacteriales; Weeksellaceae
Description: Chryseobacterium zeae Flavo-1 RNA
Source: RNAcentral
AUGCAGCCAGACUUGAGCGGAAAUCCUUUUUUGCCAACCUUCAGAUUCUAUUGAAACUAAAUUGUGUACAAAAAAGAUUGGGAGCGGAAGGCGGAAUAAGC